RNAcentral lists this ribosomal RNA (374 nucleotides) under uncultured organism. RNAcentral's name for it is "bacterial SSU rRNA". It matches the Rfam family "Bacterial small subunit ribosomal RNA", at positions 526 to 896 of the family's 1533-position model. The record is from RNAcentral.
CGGAGGGUGCAAGCAUUGUUCGGAAUUACUGGGCGUAAAGGGCGCGUAGGCGGUUCUGAAAGUCAGAUGUGAAAUUCCGGGGCUCAACCCCGGAGCUGCAUUUGAAACUUCAGAGCUAGAGGAUAGUUAGGGAAAACGGAAUUCCACGUGUAGCGGCGAAAUGCGUAGAUAUGUGGAAGAACACCAGUGGUGAAGACGGUUUUCUGGGCUAAACCUGACGCUGAGGCGCGAAAGCAAGGGGAGCGAAACAGGAUUAGAUACCCUGGUAGUCCUUGCCGUAAACGAUGCAUACUAGGUGUAGAGAGGCCUCAACCCUUUCUGUACCGGAGCUAACGCAUUAAGUAUGCCGCCUGGGGAGUACGCUCGCAAGGGUA